This 358-nucleotide long non-coding RNA is filed under the name Homo sapiens (human). Its description in RNAcentral is "non-protein coding lnc-INTS4-4:2". The record is from RNAcentral. Lineage: Eukaryota; Metazoa; Chordata; Mammalia; Primates; Hominidae.
AUGGCUUUGAAGGUUACCGGAAAAACACGCGUGGAGCUGGAGGUGGCAGUUCACCGAAAUUGAAUCACUCUAACGAGCCGCAACAUAAAAUCCCUGGAAAAGGUGUGUGCUGACUUCAUCAGAGGAGCAGAGGCAAAGAAUCUCCAAGUGAAAGGACCAGUUCGAAUACCUACCAAGACUUUGAGAAUCACUACAGAAAAAGUCCUUGUGGUGAAGGUUCUAAGACGUGGGAUCCUUUCCAGAUGAGAAUCCACAAGCGACUCAUUGACUUGCACAGUCCUUCUGAGAUUGUUAAGCAGAUUGCUUCCAUCAGUUUGAGCCGGGAGUUGAGGUGAAAGUCACCAUUGCAGAUGCUUAA